GUAACUGCUUGUGAAAUUCUCGUCCGCUCUUUUUCUGCUUUUAUUUGUUUCACGACGGGAGUGAAAAUUUCGCAAUUUGGAACAGUGACAGACUAUGAAAAGAUUGGAUACAGGGACCGACAUGCUAGUUAGAUGGGUCCUUGAUAAUUCACUGAACACAGAGCUGCAGAUGUGACUUGGCACGGUGAUCUCAAAGUGGGAGCGGUAUGGAAUUGUUGAAACAAUUCACUGAAUACAGUCAGAGCUGCAGAUGUGACUUGGCAUGGUGACAUCAAAUUAGUUCAGAUGGCUUGUGAACAAGUCAAAAGUCCAGAUCAAGGAUCUUCGCUGCUUCAACCACUAUCGCUCGGAUGACAUACGUGUGAAGAAAAUUGAAGAACUUUUGUUGAAGAGCAUGCUUUAGAAACUAGAAUCAAUCAUAUUGAUCGUUGUGGCAAUGCUUCAAUAUUUCAAUACCUCAAUCUUUCUUUUAUACUGUUUAAUUGUAAACAUUUCGAAUAUCAUAUAGAAAACUCCACUCAUAAUUUUAAUUGUGUGUAGAAUUAAGUAAUUAUCGCAAUGAAAUGGAUUGAUUAUAAAAUCGAGGAAUUGAUUUAAAGUGAACUGGUAACAUUGUCCAUGAUUUCUAAAACAAUGAA
Strongylocentrotus purpuratus (purple sea urchin) is the source of this 638-nucleotide long non-coding RNA. RefSeq lists it as uncharacterized. NCBI's taxonomy places the organism in Eukaryota, Metazoa, Echinodermata, Echinoidea, Camarodonta, Strongylocentrotidae. The record is from RefSeq and is a predicted model, not a curated record. The transcript is spliced from 3 exons.